AUGGCGACUAGAGCUGCGUCUCUUGCUCUCUGCGCUCUUCUCGCACUCUCCCUAGUGUGUCAGGCGGUCUCUCGUGUGGAUCCUGCCGGAGGGGUGGCGGUGAAUGGGUACCCGUGCGGCUAUGUGGUCGUCAUCCGCAUCCCGCACGAGGGUGUCUGCCAGCGGGACCGCAGUUCAUGUGGAAGUACCCGGGCAUCAAGGCCGUCAUAG
RNAcentral lists this ribosomal RNA (210 nucleotides) under Triticum aestivum (bread wheat). Its description in RNAcentral is "partial small subunit ribosomal RNA". The record is from RNAcentral. Lineage: Eukaryota; Viridiplantae; Streptophyta; Magnoliopsida; Poales; Poaceae.